UACGUAGGGGGCAAGCGUUGUUCGGAAUUACUGGGCGUAAAGCGCGCGUAGGCGGUUUGGCAAGUCAGAUGUGAAAGCCCCGGGCUCAACUUGGGAACUGCAUUUGAUACUGCCAGACUAGAGUACAGAAGAGGUGACUGGAAUUCCCAGUGUAGCGGUGAAAUGCGUAGAUAUUGGGAGGAACACCAGAUGCGAAGGCGGGUCACUGGGCUGAUACUGACGCUGAGGAGCGAAAGCGUGGGGAGCGAACAGG
RNAcentral lists this ribosomal RNA (253 nucleotides) under uncultured bacterium. Its description in RNAcentral is "partial 16S ribosomal RNA". It matches the Rfam family "Bacterial small subunit ribosomal RNA", at positions 524 to 776 of the family's 1533-position model. The record is from RNAcentral.